UACGUAGGGUGCAAGCGUUGUCCGGAAUUAUUGGGCGUAAAGAGCUCGUAGGCGGUUUGUCGCGUCUGCUGUGAAAACGCGAGGCUCAACCUCGCCCCUGCAGUGGAUACGGGCAGACUAGAGGCAGGUAGGGGAGAAUGGAAUUCCCGGUGUAGCGGUGAAAUGCGCAGAUAUCGGGAGGAACACCGGUGGCGAAGGCGGUUCUCUGGGCCUGACCUGACGCUGAGGAGCGAAAGCGUGGGGAGCGAACAGG
Molecule: ribosomal RNA, 253 nt
Filed under: uncultured bacterium
Lineage: Bacteria
Description: partial 16S ribosomal RNA
Rfam family: Bacterial small subunit ribosomal RNA
Source: RNAcentral